RNAcentral lists this ribosomal RNA (253 nucleotides) under uncultured bacterium. RNAcentral describes it as "partial 16S ribosomal RNA". It matches the Rfam family "Bacterial small subunit ribosomal RNA", at positions 524 to 776 of the family's 1533-position model. The record is from RNAcentral.
UACGGAGGGUGCGAGCGUUGUCCGGAAUCAUUGGGCGUAAAGGGCGCGUAGGUGGCCUGGUCAGCGUGCGGUGAAAGCCUGGGGCUCAACCCCGGGUCGGCCGUGCGAACUGCUGGGCUUGAGCACUGUAGAGGCAGGCGGAAUUCCGGGUGUAGCGGUGGAAUGCGUAGAGAUGUGGAGGAACACCGAUGGCGAAGGCAGCCUUCUGGGCCAACACUGACGCUCAUGCACGAAAGCGUGGGGAGCAAACAGG